This 425-nucleotide ribosomal RNA is filed under the name uncultured bacterium. RNAcentral describes it as "partial 16S ribosomal RNA". It matches the Rfam family "Bacterial small subunit ribosomal RNA", at positions 354 to 796 of the family's 1533-position model. The record is from RNAcentral.
GUGGGGAAUCUUAGACAAUGGGCGCAAGCCUGAUCUAGCCAUGCCGCGUGAGUGAUGAAGGCCCUAGGGUUGUAAAGCUCUUUCAGCUGGGAAGAUAAUGACGGUACCAGCAGAAGAAGCCCCGGCUAACUCCGUGCCAGCAGCCGCGGUAAUACGGAGGGGGCUAGCGUUGUUCGGAAUUACUGGGCGUAAAGCGCGCGUAGGCGGACUGAAAAGUUGGGGGUGAAAUCCCGGGGCUCAACCUCGGAACUGCCUUCAAAAAUAUCAGUCUGGAGUUCGAGAGAGGUGAGUGGAAUUCCGAGUGUAGAGGGGAAAUUCGUAGAUAUUCGGAGGAACACCAGUGGCGAAGGCGGCUCACUGGCUCGAUACUGACGCUGAGGUGCGAAAGCGUGGGGAGCAAACAGGAUUAGAAACCCUUGUAGUCC